UACGAAGGGGGCUAGCGUUGCUCGGAAUCACUGGGCGUAAAGCGCACGUAGGCGGAUCUUUAAGUCAGAGGUGAAAUCCCAAGGCUCAACCUUGGAACUGCCUUUGAUACUGGGGAUCUCGAGUCCGGAAGAGGUGAGUGGAACUGCGAGUGUAGAGGUGAAAUUCGUAGAUAUUCGCAAGAACACCAGUGGCGAAGGCGGCUCACUGGCCCGGUACUGACGCUGAGGUGCGAAAGCGUGGGGAGCAAACAGG
Molecule: ribosomal RNA, 253 nt
Filed under: uncultured bacterium
Lineage: Bacteria
Description: partial 16S ribosomal RNA
Rfam family: Bacterial small subunit ribosomal RNA
Source: RNAcentral